RNAcentral lists this ribosomal RNA (1243 nucleotides) under Paenarthrobacter sp. RNAcentral describes it as "bacterial SSU rRNA". It matches the Rfam family "Bacterial small subunit ribosomal RNA", at positions 112 to 1366 of the family's 1533-position model. The record is from RNAcentral. Lineage: Bacteria; Bacillati; Actinomycetota; Actinomycetes; Micrococcales; Micrococcaceae.
AACACGUGAGUAACCUGCCCUUGACUCUGGGAUAAGCCUGGGAAACUGGGUCUAAUACCGGAUACGACCAUCUGGCGCAUGUCAUGGUGGUGGAAAGCUUUUGUGGUUUUGGAUGGACUCGCGGCCUAUCAGCUUGUUGGUGGGGUAAUGGCCUACCAAGGCGACGACGGGUAGCCGGCCUGAGAGGGUGACCGGCCACACUGGGACUGAGACACGGCCCAGACUCCUACGGGAGGCAGCAGUGGGGAAUAUUGCACAAUGGGCGCAAGCCUGAUGCAGCGACGCCGCGUGAGGGAUGACGGCCUUCGGGUUGUAAACCUCUUUCAGUAGGGAAGAAGCGAAAGUGACGGUACCUGCAGAAGAAGCGCCGGCUAACUACGUGCCAGCAGCCGCGGUAAUACGUAGGGCGCAAGCGUUAUCCGGAAUUAUUGGGCGUAAAGAGCUCGUAGGCGGUUUGUCGCGUCUGCUGUGAAAGACCGGGGCUCAACUCCGGUUCUGCAGUGGGUACGGGCAGACUAGAGUGCAGUAGGGGAGACUGGAAUUCCUGGUGUAGCGGUGAAAUGCGCAGAUAUCAGGAGGAACACCGAUGGCGAAGGCAGGUCUCUGGGCUGUAACUGACGCUGAGGAGCGAAAGCAUGGGGAGCGAACAGGAUUAGAUACCCUGGUAGUCCAUGCCGUAAACGUUGGGCACUAGGUGUGGGGGACAUUCCACGUUUUCCGCGCCGUAGCUAACGCAUUAAGUGCCCCGCCUGGGGAGUACGGCCGCAAGGCUAAAACUCAAAGGAAUUGACGGGGGCCCGCACAAGCGGCGGAGCAUGCGGAUUAAUUCGAUGCAACGCGAAGAACCUUACCAAGGCUUGACAUGAACCGGAAAGACCUGGAAACAGGUGCCCCGCUUGCGGUCGGUUUACAGGUGGUGCAUGGUUGUCGUCAGCUCGUGUCGUGAGAUGUUGGGUUAAGUCCCGCAACGAGCGCAACCCUCGUUCUAUGUUGCCAGCGCGUUAUGGCGGGGACUCAUAGGAGACUGCCGGGGUCAACUCGGAGGAAGGUGGGGACGACGUCAAAUCAUCAUGCCCCUUAUGUCUUGGGCUUCACGCAUGCUACAAUGGCCGGUACAAAGGGUUGCGAUACUGUGAGGUGGAGCUAAUCCCAAAAAGCCGGUCUCAGUUCGGAUUGGGGUCUGCAACUCGACCCCAUGAAGUCGGAGUCGCUAGUAAUCGCAGAUCAGCAACGCUGCGGUGAA